GAGUGGCGGACGGGUGAGUAACGCGUGGGAACAUACCCUUUGGUACGGAAUAGUCCUGGGAAACUGGGGGUAAUACCGUAUGUGCUCUUCGGAGGAAAGAUUUAUCGCCAAAGGAUUGGCCCGCGUUGGAUUAGGUAGUUGGUGGGGUAAUGGCCUACCAAGCCGACGAUCCAUAGCUGGUUUUAGAGGAUGAUCAGCCACACUGGGACUGAAACACGGCCCAGACUCCUACGGGAGGCAGCAGUGGGGAAUCUUAGACAAUGGGCGCAAGCCUGAUCUAGCCAUGCCGCGUGAUCGAUGAAGGCCUUAGGGUUGUAAAGAUCUUUCAAAUGGGAAGAUAAUGACUGUACCCUCAAAAAAACCCCGGCUAACUCUGUCCACAGCCGCGGUAUACGGAGGGGGCUAGCGUU
This 410-nucleotide ribosomal RNA is filed under the name uncultured bacterium. RNAcentral describes it as "bacterial SSU rRNA". It matches the Rfam family "Bacterial small subunit ribosomal RNA", at positions 93 to 542 of the family's 1533-position model. The record is from RNAcentral.